AUACGGAGGGUGCGAGCGUUAAUCGGAAUUACUGGGCGUAAAGGGUGCGUAGGCGGCUUGAUAAGUCGGAUGUGAAAGCCCCGGGCUUAACCUGGGAAUUGCAUUCGAUACUGUCAGGCUAGAGUAUGACAGAGGUUGGCGGAAUUCCUGGUGUAGCGGUGAAAUGCGUAGAUAUCAGGAGGAACACCAGUGGCGAAGGCGGCUAACUGGGGCAAUACUGACGCUGAGGCGCGAAAGCGUGGGGAGCAAACAGGAUUAGAAACCCCAGUAGUCC
Molecule: ribosomal RNA, 274 nt
Filed under: uncultured bacterium
Lineage: Bacteria
Description: partial 16S ribosomal RNA
Rfam family: Bacterial small subunit ribosomal RNA
Source: RNAcentral